RNAcentral lists this ribosomal RNA (253 nucleotides) under uncultured bacterium. Its description in RNAcentral is "partial 16S ribosomal RNA". It matches the Rfam family "Bacterial small subunit ribosomal RNA", at positions 524 to 776 of the family's 1533-position model. The record is from RNAcentral.
UACGUAGGUGGCAAGCGUUGUCCGGAAUUACUGGGUGUAAAGCGCGUGUAGGCGGCAGGCCAAGUCUGCGGUGAAAGCGCCCGGCUCAACUGGGCGAGGUCCGUGGAAACUGGUCAGCUGGAGGACGGUAGAGGCGAGUGGAAUUCCCGGUGUAGUGGUGAAAUGCGUAGAGAUCGGGAGGAACACCUGUGGCGAAGGCGGCUCGCUGGGCCGGUCCUGACGCUGACACGCGAAGGCGUGGGGAGCGAACAGG